GCACGCCCUCUUCAUCCUCCUCCCCCAUCGUCCUCCAGCGCCCCGAGCUCCCCUCGACGCAUCGCAGACCACCUGCUCCUCCCGAUGCACCGGCCGCGCGCGGCCACAUCUCGCCUGGCUGUCCACUCGCACGUCUCCAACCUCGGGGUCCGGCGAGCGGCGCCGGCAGCCACGGCGGACUGCCAUGGGUGCGGCCAAUCUGAGCUCCUGUUGGUAGGUUAGUCCAAAAAUAAAAAGAAUCCACGCACUACACGACCCCGUCCUCCAAUACGCCACCUGCUCCCAGCCAUCUAGCACCGCCGCCCGCUUCAGCUCCUGCUCGUCGAUCGCCGCCGUGCGGAGCCACCUUCCCAGCACGCCGCUCCGCCUGCGUACACCGAUAGGCUUUCAACCACCGCCACGCGCCACUUCGCCUCCCCCUGCCCAUCGUCUCCUACACAAUCGUCUCGAAUCGCAGGAGCGGCCUCUCAUCUCUCUCUCUCUCUCUCUCUCUCUCUCUCUCUCUCUCUCUCUCUCUCUCUCUCUGUACUGGUGGUCACGGCUGAUGCUACUUCUCCUCUCCAUCAGGAUCUCUCUGUCUCUCCCUGUCUCUCUAUAUCUCUCUCAUGGAUUGGAAACUGCAUUCUUCCAAAUAAAUGUGUGCCUCUGUUCUUGAUAUGCCGCCCACCACAUGUUUGAUGUUAUGCUUAUGAGGAGUUAUUUUUUUUUCAGGUUUUUAUUUGGUGUAUUAGGCAGCCUGGUGUAAUUUGUUUCAAAAGUGAACAUGGUGUACAGUCCAAUGUAUCUAGGAAAAUUAAGUUAUGGAGAGUUGUUCAUGAUGUUGCUUGCAUAUUUUUUGUCUAACAAACUGGGUACUUAAAUGGAUAUAAAUAUUGAGUAGGUGCUGAAAUAUUUCGCUAAUAAUAGUUUCCAAAUUGCUUUUUAGCAGAACUACAGAACUAUUUGCAACUUUUAAUUAUGUGUACUUAAAAUGGAUUUGUUGUCCAGGACAUGUGGAGUUGAGAUCAAGUUGAAUUAUGUGCUGAUGUCAUUAUGUUUUUUUGUGUGGAGAAAUAUAGGAGAUUUAGUCCAGGCCCUCCACUGGCUCAAGACCCAGUGGCUCUCUGCUCCUCAACGCCCCACAUCGAGCGCCCAAUCCCGAAAGACAGGCCCGUCGUGCUGCCGCUCCCCAUCUCCCAUGUAUCCUUGGUUUAGUUCCCAUAUCUUGAAUUACUUUGGUCAAAUGCAAGGAUUGCCUAUAAAGUAAUUGGGUUUGGCCUUUGUGAGGAAUGCUACAGCAACACUUCAAACCUCCCAUGCCGCUUUCAUCAGCAGCAUAGAACUUGAUAAUACAUCACUGUAGGAUGCAUUCAUGAGAUUCCAAUGGAUACCCACGGAAGGUCCACAAUAGCUGAUUGUAGAAGAAUUUUUUGUAUCUAGCGAAGUUAAUUCUGGGAGCAAUCCUUGAAUAUUGCAGGUGUCGAUUUAAAUGAAUGUAGUGUGCUAACAUGGUUCAUCGCUGGAGAUGUAUUUAGUAUUCGCUACCUUGUUAGUACUUGGAAAGUUAGUUCACACAUAUCUAUGACAAUAGAAGUAAUAAUUAUUUGACAAUAGGAAGAAGUAUUUAGUAUUUGUUUCUACUUUUUAAUAAAUAGGGUCCUUGUUUUCUUUGUGUUCAGUCCACAAGAUAGGUGCAUGUUGUUUAUGCUAAUCAUGACAUUGUGGAAUUCAAGCUUUUCUGUUUGUGCCCAACUGAACAGUUGCUCUAUACUAGAUAUAAGGUGGUUACUUUCCCCAAUGAUAGAGGAUCUUUGUUUCAAACUCAUGAAUAUGUUCCCCACAAUAGGAAGAAUGUAAUAUUGCUUAGCAUGUCUCCUUGAAGUACAGGCAUCCAAGAUUGCCAUACAAUAUAUAAUGGCUUUGACGUUAAUUUAGAGUACAGUUUUCCCUUCUCAAGAAAUUUCAACACUGAAGAUAGUCUAUGUUAAUUGUGAUACAUGUGGCAUUUGAAGUAGUAAUUCCUCUCAAAGUUUAGAUUACACUUACUUAAGUGUGGGUUCAAAAUUCCAUCUGUAUGUUCGUAUAAGAAUUCAUGUUUUUGUUUCUGCACAAGUCCAUAUGACCUGAUUUAUCGAUAUGGACUAUCAUUGAUGCGCUUAAAUGUAUUCUCGACAUUUUUUUAGAAAACCAGAUGAUCGAGGUGAGAAAAAAUGUGUGUUGCUUUUAUCUAGGAAAACUGACACUCAGAUGCACAUGCCAAAAUCACCAUAGAUUGAUCCUGUUUAACAGCACAGAAAGAAGAAUUGCUUCACCAGAACCUGGGCCAUGCAUGCGGUGAUUGAUAUUUUAGUUGCGCGGUUGUUUCCAGUUGUUCAUCUGAGAAAUUAAGAACUCUUCCCGGCCAUCAAGGAUGUACGAGGUACUUGAGUUGUACAAGAACUGAAUUACAUUAUUUCUAUUUUAUACACAACAAGGACCCAGAUUUGUGAUUUUUACAUGUAAAGAAAACCAUAUCAAAUUUUCAUGUAACUGUUACUGUGUAACUUAUCUUCAUCUCUAAGAAUAUGGAUGAUCUUUCCUUUUGAAA
This is a non-coding RNA of Aegilops tauschii subsp. strangulata, 2566 nucleotides long. The record is from RefSeq and is a predicted model, not a curated record. NCBI's taxonomy places the organism in Eukaryota, Viridiplantae, Streptophyta, Magnoliopsida, Poales, Poaceae.